GACCGCGUAGCUCAGUUGGAAGAGCAUUCGGCUAGUAUUCCAAAGGUCGUAGGUUCGAAUCCCGCCGUGGCCA
Molecule: transfer RNA, 73 nt
Filed under: Paramuricea clavata
Lineage: Eukaryota; Metazoa; Cnidaria; Anthozoa; Malacalcyonacea; Plexauridae
Rfam family: tRNA
About the family: Transfer RNA (tRNA) molecules are approximately 80 nucleotides in length. Their secondary structure includes four short double-helical elements and three loops (D, anti-codon, and T loops).
Source: Rfam by way of RNAcentral